AUCAGCUUUCGACGGUAUGGUAUUGGCUUACUGUGGCAGUGACGGUUAACGGGGGAUUAGGGUUCGAUUCCGGAGAGGGAGCCUGAGAAACGGCUACCACAUCUAAGGAAGGCAGCAGGCGCGCAAAUUACCCAAUUCUAACAGCAUGAGAGAGGUAGUGACAAGAAAUAACAAUACAAGGCAGUUAAAAUGCUUUGUAAUUGGAAUGAUAGAAAUUUAAACACUUUUUAAAGUAUCAAUUGGAGGGCAAGUCUGGUGCCAGCAGCCGCGGUAAUUCCAGCUCCAAUAGCGUAUAUUAAAAUUGUUGCAGUUAAAAAGCUCGUAGUUGAAUUUCUGUUAAAAAUAACCGGUCUGCUUUUAAUAAAAGUGGUAUCUUGGUGUGUUUUUAGCAAUAAUGUCCUUUGAAAUGUUUUUUACUUUAUUGUAAUAGAUUAUAUUCAGGAUUUUUACUUUGAGAAAAUUAGAGUGUUUCUAGCAGGCUAACGCUUUGAAUACUGCAGCAUGGAAUAAUAAAAUAGGAUUUUGGUUCUACAUUAUUGGUUUUAAGAACUAAAUUAAUGAUUGAUAGGGACAGUUGGGGGCAUUUGUAUUUAACUG
This 597-nucleotide ribosomal RNA is filed under the name Hepatozoon sp. RNAcentral describes it as "SSU rRNA". It matches the Rfam family "Eukaryotic small subunit ribosomal RNA", at positions 314 to 904 of the family's 1831-position model. Lineage: Eukaryota; Apicomplexa; Hepatozoidae. The record is from RNAcentral.